GGUAGAGACAUGUGAAAACGAGUAUGUGCAGUCCGAUCGUGUAGAAGAAUGCGAAUGUUCUUGCGUAUCUGCAAGGAUCCAUAACGUAGAAACCCAAGUACGACGACAAAGAAGAAGAGCACACGACAGAAAGGGGAAGGGGAAUGUAGAAGACACACAUACUUUCUUCGACCCACGGGAAACAACUUUCUCGUGGUUAUAGUCCUGCACAUAACGGAUUUUUCCAUAGAGUUUGACGUUGUCAGCUUUGGUCUUUUCAAGUUCAUCUGUUAACAAACCUAUCUUCUCCUUUAAGUGCCUUAGUUCCUGAGA
Molecule: long non-coding RNA, 312 nt
Organism: Tarenaya hassleriana
Lineage: Eukaryota; Viridiplantae; Streptophyta; Magnoliopsida; Brassicales; Cleomaceae
Exons: 2
Source: RefSeq, a predicted model, not a curated record